Molecule: ribosomal RNA, 253 nt
Filed under: Anaerobutyricum hallii
Lineage: Bacteria; Bacillati; Bacillota; Clostridia; Lachnospirales; Lachnospiraceae
Description: partial 16S ribosomal RNA
Rfam family: Bacterial small subunit ribosomal RNA
Source: RNAcentral
UACGUAUGGAGCAAGCGUUAUCCAGAUUUACUGGGUGUAAAGGGUGCGUAGGUGGCAGUGCAAGUCAGAUGUGAAAGGCCGGGGCUCAACCCCGGAGCUGCAUUUGAAACUGCAUAGCUAGAGUACAGGAGAGGCAGGCGGAAUUCCUAGUGUAGCGGUGAAAUGCGUAGAUAUUAGGAGGAACACCAGUGGCGAAGGCGGCCUGCUGGACUGUUACUGACACUGAGGCACGAAAGCGUGGGGAGCAAACAGG